Molecule: non-coding RNA, 51 nt
Filed under: Trypanosoma lewisi
Lineage: Eukaryota; Euglenozoa; Kinetoplastea; Trypanosomatida; Trypanosomatidae
Source: RNAcentral
AUAUACAACAACACAAAUAGAUUAGAUAGCGUGUGAUAUUUUGGCGAGAAA